CUACGGGGAGCUGCAGUGGGGAAUAUUGCACAAUGGGCGCAAGCCUGAUGCAGCCAUGCCGCGUGUAUGAAGAAGGCCUUCGGGUUGUAAAGUACUUUCAGCGGGGAGGAGGGGAGUAAAGUUAAUACCUUUGCUCAUUGACGUUACCCGCAGAAGAAGCACCGGCUAACUCCGUGCCAGCAGCCGCGGUAAUACGGAGGGUGCAAGCGUUAAUCGGAAUUACUGGGCGUAAAGCGCACGCAGGCGGUUUGUUAAGUCAGAUAUGAAAUCCCCGGGCUCAACCUGGGAACUGCAUCUGAUACUGGCAAGCGUGAGUCUCGUAGAGGGGGGUAGAAUUCCAGGUGUAGCGGUGAAAUGCGUAGAGAUCUGGAGGAAUACCGGUGGCGAAGGCGGCCCCCUGGACGAAGACUGACGCUCAGGUGCGAAAGCGUGGGGAGCAAACAGGAUUAGAUACCCGCGUAGUC
RNAcentral lists this ribosomal RNA (464 nucleotides) under uncultured bacterium. RNAcentral describes it as "partial 16S ribosomal RNA". It matches the Rfam family "Bacterial small subunit ribosomal RNA", at positions 339 to 795 of the family's 1533-position model. The record is from RNAcentral.